AGUGAACGCUGGCGGUAGGCCUAACACAUGCAAGUCGAACGGCAGCACAGUAAGAGCUUGCUCUUACGGGUGGCGAGUGGCGGACGGGUGAGGAAUACAUCGGAAUCUACUUUUUCGUGGGGGAUAACGUAGGGAAACUUACGCUAAUACCGCAUACGACCUACGGGUGAAAGCAGGGGAUCUUCGGACCUUGCGCGAGUGAAUGAGCCGAUGUCGGAUUAGCUAGUUGGCGGGGUAAAGGCCCACCAAGGCGACGAUCCGUAGCUGGUCUGAGAGGAUGAUCAGCCACCCUGGAACUGAGACACGUUCCAGACUCCUACGGGAGGCAGCAGUGGGGAAUAUUGGACAAUGGGCGCAAGCCUGAUCCAGCCAUACCGCGUGGGUGAAGAAGGCCUUCGGGUUGUAAAGCCCUUUUGUUGGGAAAGAAAAGCAGCAGGUUAAUACCCCGCUGUUCUGACGGUACCCAAAGAAUAAGCACCGGCUAACUUCGUG
Molecule: ribosomal RNA, 492 nt
Filed under: uncultured bacterium
Lineage: Bacteria
Description: partial 16S ribosomal RNA
Rfam family: Bacterial small subunit ribosomal RNA
Source: RNAcentral